Molecule: ribosomal RNA, 784 nt
Filed under: Escherichia coli
Lineage: Bacteria; Pseudomonadati; Pseudomonadota; Gammaproteobacteria; Enterobacterales; Enterobacteriaceae
Description: partial 23S ribosomal RNA
Rfam family: Bacterial large subunit ribosomal RNA
Source: RNAcentral
GUGGGAGGCUUUGAAGUGUGGACGCCAGUCUGCAUGGAGCCGACCUUGAAAUACCACCCUUUAAUGUUUGAUGUUCUAACGUUGACCCGUGAUCCGGGUUGCGGACAGUGUCUGGUGGGUAGUUUGACUGGGGCGGUCUCCUCCUAAAGAGUAACGGAGGAGCACGAAGGUUGGCUAAUCCUGGUCGGACAUCAGGAGGUUAGUGCAAUGGCAUAAGCCAGCUUGACUGCGAGCGUGACGGCGCGAGCAGGUGCGAAAGCAGGUCAUAGUGAUCCGGUGGUUCUGAAUGGAAGGGCCAUCGCUCAACGGAUAAAAGGUACUCCGGGGAUAACAGGCUGAUACCGCCCAAGAGUUCAUAUCGACGGCGGUGUUUGGCACCUCGAUGUCGGCUCAUCACAUCCUGGGGCUGAAGUAGGUCCCAAGGGUAUGGCUGUUCGCCAUUUAAAGUGGUACGCGAGCUGGGUUUAGAACGUCGUGAGACAGUUCGGUCCCUAUCUGCCGUGGGCGCUGGAGAACUGAGGGGGGCUGCUCCUAGUACGAGAGGACCGGAGUGGACGCAUCACUGGUGUUCGGGUUGUCAUGCCAAUGGCACUGCCCGGUAGCUAAAUGCGGAAGAGAUAAGUGCUGAAAGCAUCUAAGCACGAAACUUGCCCCGAGAUGAGUUCUCCCUGACUCCUUGAGAGUCCUGAAGGAACGUUGAAGACGACGACGUUGAUAGGCCGGGUGUGUAAGCGCAGCGAUGCGUUGAGCUAACCGGUACUAAUGAACCGUGAGGCUUAACCUU